Molecule: long non-coding RNA, 2517 nt
Organism: Raphanus sativus (radish)
Lineage: Eukaryota; Viridiplantae; Streptophyta; Magnoliopsida; Brassicales; Brassicaceae
Exons: 3
Source: RefSeq, a predicted model, not a curated record
CCCUGAUUUGCUCAGUUUCUUAACGAGGAUAGCUGGGUCAACGUUUCCUGUGACAGUGACCUUCCCCUGUUCCACAUCUGCUUUUACAGAGUACACACCUGUUAUCAAACACAAUUAACAAACCCAUGUCAGAACCGCGAUCCAUAUGGCUUCUGAGAGAGAAACUCACUUCAUAUGGUCUCAAACAGACACUAGCUUCACCAAAUUAACAAUUCAAAUGACCAUACAAAGCUACUACCUCUCAAAGAAAUGGGGCCAAGAAAGAAGAACACACACCUUCGAUUUUCUGCAACUGUUUCCUCACUUUAUGCUUACAGCCUUCACAGUGUACGUUCACUUUCAGAACACAUGUCUGCCAGAAAAAAAACAAAUCCCAGUAAACAGAAUUAGCACAGUUAUAUACUCCAAUCCUGGAGGGAGAGAGACAAGAAGAGAAGGAGACGUAUACCUGAAGCUUCGUAACAUCUUGUUUAUUCAUAGUUUCUCUUAGAUUUGUGGGUUUUUUCACAAUCUGUGUAGAGAGAGAGAGAGAGAGUUUCAGCUCUUCUUUUCUCCUAUGUGAAGAGAAGAGAUGGUAGUAGAUAGAUAUGAUAAGAAGAGGGGUAUUAUAAUGUAAUAAAGUCGGUUGUUGCUGUGUUUUAAGGACAGAGAUGGAAAGAGAGGGACACUAAUAAAACACGCUCAAUACUUGUGUUUUGUUUUCUUUUAUCUCUCUGUUUCAGGAGGGUUUCUUAUUAUUUAUUUGGUCUGUAGAGAGAGAGAGGGCGGUGGCACAGGUAGCAAGGAUAUAUCUUUCAUUUUGAUUUGCAAAAUAUCUUCUUUUUUUUUUCCUUCAAUUAACAUUUUAAUAUUGUUUUUGAUUUUAAAAAUUUUAAAGUGUCAUGCUUUUUCUGGUACAGAGUAGAGGGAAAGAAGCAGAAGAAGAAGCUUAAAGGCAGCUUCUUUCACUUUGUCAGCAGAAUUAAGUACAGCCUCGCUUCGUCUGUAUUCAUUCAUCUUCCUGAAUACGAUUUGAUUAACACACAAAUUCGAAUAUCUUAAGGUUCCUUACCUACAUUCUUAGCUGUAUUCGUUUUUUUCCUAAUGAAAAUUUGCUUUUGUGGUUUAGAUGUAAACCGACUUUAUUAAGAGUCAAUAAUCUAGGUGUCAUGUUGUUACCAUGCAGUGGUUUUAUCUGCUGUUCUAAAAUCAACUUUUAAUUCACAUUUUGUCAAUAUGUUUUUAUUUUUACACAUGUACUAAUUUUUAAUGAUUUUUCCAUAAAUCAGUAAUAAGGAAUACGUGUUAAGUAACAACAAGUUUUAAACCUUAAAAAUUCUCUUAAUGGUCAUAGCGUAUAUCAUUUGCUUGCAAAUUAAUUUGACUACAAUAAUUUAGAUAUGACACUGAUAUUUAACAACAGAAUUUCAGGAUCAUAAUAAUGGUUUUGUGAUCAAUGAUUUUAAUGAAUCGUUGACAAGAGUGUUAAGGAUCCAAUCGCAAGCGAGAAUAGCGCCUUUGUCAACAAAAUGGAUUUGUUUAACAACAUCACACACGCAAACAAUGCAACCAUUGAAUUCAGACAUUAUUCUAUGACUCCUAUAUUGGUAAGUUAUGCGAUCUAGAUCUUACCUUCUCUACUAAUAUACCUCAUGCAGAAAUGUUUCUCAUGAACUGUUUGAUUGUUUAUAUCUAUGAUUUGUGUUUUUAGUCAAAAAAAAACUUGGCUGAGACAAUAAGUUAAAAAUCACAUAUGUCAAUACUCAAUAUAAUUUAGUGGUACCAAAAGAUUGAAAAACCUGAUUAUAAAUCGAGAGAAAGCCAGCAAUAAAUUAUUUGAUUAUAAUUUUUAUAUGUAGUAGGAAACCGAAUCAAACAACUUACAACUCUAUACUUUCAGUUUGUUUUUGGUACUAAAACAUUUAUAUUAGAAAAUUUAAACUUAAAAUAUAAAUAAAAUUACGAAAUUAAGGAGAAAAUCUAUUUUAUUUGAUAGUUAUCUCAAAAUACUCUGGAUUUUCAUUCAUAAAUAUUAUAAUGCUCUAAAUACUUUUGAGUAGAGUUUUAAAUAUUUAACAUAAUCAUUCAAUACAGAAAUUUUCAUUUUUUGUAAAGAUAUUCAAGUUGAUAAUCCAUGGUACUCCUCCACAACCCGGAAAUUUAUAAAUGGAAAACUAAAAAUAACUUGAUUUGACAACUUUUGUUGUGGACGAUGCUCGAUAAGUUUAUAUAAAUAAGAGAAAUACACAUUCAAUAUAUCUGUUAUUUGAUAUGUAUAUAUAAUAAUAUAAGAAGAAGAAGCGAAAAGAGACAAUAAUUUGAUGAGUUUUAAUGGGUCAUGGAGACAGGUAGGUCGCUUCCACUCUUUGCUGUGGAUAGAGCUCUCUAGGGCCAGCUUUCAACCACCAAUUAGUUUUUUUUUUUUGGGGUAAAAACCACCAAUUAGUUCGGAAUCAAUAAAUAUUAAUGAUGUAUUUUAAUUAUCUACUUGUAAUAUACUGAGGUUCUGAGUUAAAAAUAAAAUAUCACUUAAUUGCU